AUUGAACGCUGGCGGCAUGCCUUACACAUGCAAGUCGAACGGCAGCACGGGAGCAAUCCUGGUGGCGAGUGGCGAACGGGUGAGUAAUAUAUCGGAACGUGCCCAGUCAUGGGGGAUAACGUAGCGAAAGCUACGCUAAUACCGCAUACGAUCUAUGGAUGAAAGCGGGGGAUCGCAAGACCUCGCGCGAUUGGAGCGGCCGAUAUCAGAUUAGGUAGUUGGUGGGGUAAAAGCCUACCAAGCCUUCGAUCUGUAGCUGGUCUGAGAGGACGACCAGCCACACUGGAACUGAGACACGGUCCAGACUCCUACGGGAGGCAGCAGUGGGGAAUUUUGGACAAUGGGCGCAAGCCUGAUCCAGCAAUGCCGCGUGCAGGAUGAAGGCCU
This 387-nucleotide ribosomal RNA is filed under the name uncultured bacterium. RNAcentral's name for it is "bacterial SSU rRNA". It matches the Rfam family "Bacterial small subunit ribosomal RNA", at positions 30 to 417 of the family's 1533-position model. The record is from RNAcentral.